Brassica oleracea var. oleracea is the source of this 762-nucleotide long non-coding RNA. RefSeq lists it as uncharacterized. The record is from RefSeq and is a predicted model, not a curated record. Lineage: Eukaryota; Viridiplantae; Streptophyta; Magnoliopsida; Brassicales; Brassicaceae. The transcript is spliced from 3 exons.
UAAUGUCCCAGAAAUCUUUGCUCUGACAUCUAUUAUGAGUUUUCCAUUCAUUAAUCCACUCUUCAUGCAUUAUGAUUUCGAUCUACCUCUUCGUUCACCCUGUAACCGCCUCGGACUCCAUCUGUAAAUAUCGGCCCUCACUUCCAUUCACAGCACAUCUCAAAUGAUUUACUCAAACAUACAAUCUCAUAGAAGCAACAUAUUCAGAUGGCGAAUUCAUACACUCUGCUUGCCAAUUUGACAGCCGGCCGAUGCUCUAAUACUGCUGAGUUCCGCCUGCUGAGGUUCUGAGAGGCCAGAAAUAUCAACAAAGGAGGGGAGCUGAUGAGUAUUGAGAUGCUGCUCAUCGAUGAGGCUGAUACGCUGGUUCAAGGGUGUGUUCCUGCUGUUCACCAACGUAAGUUCAGGGAACGUCUUACUGAAGGAUCAGUUUACACUCUCAGCGGGUUUGACGUCACACGCAGCAACCCGAAAUUAAAGUUGACUGAUGGCCCUGUCUCCAUUCGUUUCAAUGAAGGAACUGCUUUUGAGAAGCUAGCUGCCACUGCUAGAACCAUACCUACAGAACAUAAAGUCUAGGUAAUGAGGGAUCUUUGAUGGUGUUAUAGUGCACUGGGAGCUCAAUUGAUCAUAUGAGUUGCGUUGGAGAUCUUGCAUGACGCUUUCAGGAAACCAGUAAGAUUAAUCUUAUUAAGGCCUUGAAGCGAUAGAUUCCGUUUUCUCUUUAUAAAUGAACAAUCAACUUGAAGCUGCUCUGCUGCA